Orcinus orca (killer whale) is the source of this 330-nucleotide long non-coding RNA. RefSeq lists it as uncharacterized. The record is from RefSeq and is a predicted model, not a curated record. NCBI's taxonomy places the organism in Eukaryota, Metazoa, Chordata, Mammalia, Artiodactyla, Delphinidae. The transcript has 2 exons.
CGGGCGGUAAACGUCUGGUCACAGUCCCAGGCCGCUCCUCGCCCCGAGGCCCCGCCCCCGCGAGGAGGCGGGCCGGGCGCUUAAAUCGUACCCGGCUGCGAUGGAGUCCGCCCCUGGCCGCCCAAGCUCGGAGUUAACCCUUUCAUGUUAUCAUCGCUUUGGAGGGAAAGAAAAAAGCAUAUUAACAAGAAGGAUGUGGGGACUUCCCUGGCAGUCCAGCGGUUAAGACUCCACGCUUCCACUGCAGGGGGCAUGAGUUCAAUCCCUGAUCCAGGAACUAAGGUUCCACGUGCUGCAAGGUGUGGCAAAAAAAAAAAAAAAAAACCUGAA